Molecule: signal recognition particle RNA, 264 nt
Filed under: Bacillota bacterium
Lineage: Bacteria; Bacillati; Bacillota
Description: signal recognition particle sRNA large type
Rfam family: Bacterial large signal recognition particle RNA
About the family: The signal recognition particle (SRP) is a universally conserved ribonucleoprotein involved in the co-translational targeting of proteins to membranes.
Source: RNAcentral
CCGUGCUAGACGGGGAGGUAGCGGUGCCCUGCACCCACAAUCCGCUGCAGUGGGGUCGAAUUCCCUCCCGAGGUUUUUUCCUGUGGGGUCCGGCCGUGAUAAGUGGCGAGGAAGACCGGGUCCCGCGCAAUGGAAACUUCCGAACCCCGCCAGGUCCGGAAGGAAGCAACGGUAAGGAAGCCCUUCCAUGUGCCGCGGGGUAGCCUAGUCGGAGCUAACUGUCAUGGUAUCGCCCGGAGGGAAAAAUCGACGGAGGGUGCACGG